GACGAACGCUGGCGGCGUGCUUAACACAUGCAAGUCGAACGGAAAGGCCCUGCUUGCCGGGUGCUCGAGUGGCGAACGGGUGAGUAACACGUGGGUGAUCUGCCCCUUACUUUGGGAUAAGCCUGGGAAACUGGGUCUAAUACUGGAUAGGACCAUGCUGUAGGUGGUGUGGUGGAAAGAUUAGUUUCGGUAAGGGAUGAGCUCGCGGCCUAUCAGCUUGUUGGUGGGGUAAUGGCCUACCAAGGCGUCGACGGGUAGCCGGCCUGAGAGGGUGGACGGCCACAUUGGGACUGAGAUACGGCCUAGACUCCUACGGGAGGCAGCAGUGGGGAAUAUUGCACAAUGGGCGCAAGCCUGAUGCAGCGACGCCGCGUGGGGGAUGACGGCCUUCGGGUUGUAAACUCCUUUCAGCCAUGACGAAGCCCUUGUGGUGACGGUAGUGGUAGAAGAAGCACCGGCUAACUACGUG
RNAcentral lists this ribosomal RNA (469 nucleotides) under uncultured bacterium. Its description in RNAcentral is "partial 16S ribosomal RNA". It matches the Rfam family "Bacterial small subunit ribosomal RNA", at positions 28 to 507 of the family's 1533-position model. The record is from RNAcentral.